RNAcentral lists this long non-coding RNA (206 nucleotides) under Homo sapiens (human). RNAcentral describes it as "non-protein coding lnc-TBL1Y-3:2". Lineage: Eukaryota; Metazoa; Chordata; Mammalia; Primates; Hominidae. The record is from RNAcentral.
CCUAGGUGGGUGCUGGUCCAGUAAGAUGUCACAAUCCUUCUUGUGGGCAGGACAAUGGAAGAAGAGUCAAAUCACCAGGAUGCCGAUUUUAGUGAUUUAUCAAGAUUCCCCCUGUUAACAGGGAUUAGGAAGGAACCCAGGAAGAAGAGUAACAUCAUCUGGAUGUUGGGCCCUGCAAUAGGUCAAAAUUUCUUUGUGUGGGCUUG